AGAGUUUGAUUCUGGCUCAGGAUGAACGCUGGCGGCGUGCCUAACACAUGCAAGUCGAACGAAGACUGUGCGGCGGAACUCUCCGGAGGGAAGACGCGCAGGACUGAGUGGCGGACGGGUGAGUAACGCGUGGGUAACCUGCCCUGUACAGGGGGACAACAGCUGGAAACGGCUGCUAAUACCGCAUAAGCCUACAGUACCGCAUGGUACAGCAGGAAAAACUCCGGUGGUACAGGAUGGGCCCGCGUCUGAUUAGUUAGUUGGCAGGGUAACGGCCUACCAAGACAACGAUCAGUAGCCGGCUUGAGAGAGUGGACGGCCACAUUGGGACUGAGACACGGCCCAAACUCCUACGGGUAGGCAGCUGCGGGGAAUCUUCCACAAUGGAAGCAAGUGUGAUGGAGCAACGCCGGGGUGAGUGAAGAAGGGAUUUCGGCUCGUAAAGCUGAUGUUGGUAGUGAAGAAAGAUAGAGUGUAGUAACUGGCCUUUAUUUGACGGUAACUAGUUAGAAAGUCUCGGCUAAAUUCGUGCCAGCAGCCGCGGUAAUACGUAGGUGGCAAGCGUCGUCCGGAUUUAUUGGGCGUAAAGGGAGUGCAGGCGGUUCAAUAAGUCUGAUGUGAAAGCCUUCGGCUCAACCCGAGAAUUGCCUCAGAAACUGUUGACCUUGAGUGCCGAAGAGGAGAGUGGAACUCCAUGUGUAGCGGUGGAAUGGGUAGAUAUAUGGAAGAACCCCCGUGGCGAAGGCGGCUCUCUGGUCUGCAACUGACGGUGAGGCUUGAAAGCAUGGGUAGCGAACAGGAUUAGAUACCCUGGUAGUCCAUCCCGUAAACGAUGAGUGAUAAGUGUUGGGAGGUGAUCCGCCUUACAGUCCGGCACAAAAGCCAUUAAGCAUUCCGCCUGGGGAGACGGUCCCCAGAGUGGAAACUCAAAGAAAUGGCGGGGGCCCCCCCCAACCGGGGAGCCUGGUGUUUAAAUUGGAGGAAACGGGAGAACCUUACCAAUGUCUGAACACCCGGUGCAAACCCAAGAAAUGAGGUGUUCCUUUGGGGGAGCAUGGACCGGGGGGGCCAGGGCGUUGUUCAGUUGUGUUCGGGGAAUGUUGGGUAAAUUCCGGCAAGAAGGCCACCCCUAGUCCCUAGUACCCAUCUUUAAGUUGGGCACUCUGGUGAGACUGCCGGGGACAACCCGGAGGAAGGUGGGGAUGACGUCAAGUCAUCAUGCCCCUUAUGACCUGGGCUACACACGUGCUACAAUGGACGGUACAACGAGAAGCGAACCUGCGAAGGCAAGCGGAUCUCUUAAAGCCGUUCUCAGUUCGGACUGUAGGCUGCAACUCGCCUACACGAAGCUGGAAUCGCUAGUAAUCGCGGAUCAGCACGCCGCGGUGAAUACGUUCCCGGGCCUUGCACUCACCGCCCGUCA
This 1423-nucleotide ribosomal RNA is filed under the name uncultured bacterium. Its description in RNAcentral is "partial 16S ribosomal RNA". It matches the Rfam family "Bacterial small subunit ribosomal RNA". The record is from RNAcentral.